This 752-nucleotide unclassified non-coding RNA is filed under the name Hevea brasiliensis (rubber tree). Lineage: Eukaryota; Viridiplantae; Streptophyta; Magnoliopsida; Malpighiales; Euphorbiaceae. The record is from RNAcentral.
GGGACACAAAAUAAGGACAGAUUCAUGACCAGAAUUGCAACUCAGCAACAAACAAAAAGAGACAACUACAUUUAUUCUUGGCAGGAGGUGAUGAACACACAGACCCACUCUUAAUAACAAUGCUACCCUAUCACUUGCAACUGCAACCCAAUUGGUCUGUCAUUUGCAUGUUUAAUUGAGCCAAUAAGCUUAAUUUCACUUCAUCAAUGCAUGGCUGCUGCCGGUAUCAUCAACAUCACCUCCAGAAGAGUCCUCAUUGAUAUUCACUUUAUCACUUACGCUCACAGUUUCUUCUUCUUCAUCACUUUGCGCCAAAUCAAUCACUUCUGGGGCUGCUGAUGAUGAUGAUAUUGUGUUCGCAGGAGCAACAACGUUAAGUACCCUGCGCUGACGCUCCACAUGCAUUAUGGGAGCUUGAAUCUGCAGCGGCGAAGCUGCCAAAGCACUCGCUAUGGGUGGGACUUGAAGUGUUAGUGGUGCUGGUGGUGCUGAUUGAGAAGGACGAAUAAAUCGUUGCUGGAUAGUUGCCGAUGAGAUGGGGUUAAUUGGUUGAGACACUCUGAGAAAACUCAGAUAAUUGUUGUCAUACAUAGGAGGUGGUAGAGGAGCAUACAGAUAUGCGGUGGAGUUUGGUGGGAGGACAUUGGGAAGAAUACCUCCUCUUGGACGAUCAAAAGACCCCCUGAUCUGCUCUGCUAGGAAGUGGUUUUCAUAGUGCCUAGCAAAAGCUUCAAUCCCAAAAAUCACAUGGU